AACGAACGCUGGCGGCAUGCCUAACACAUGCAAGUCGAACGAUGGUCUCGCUUCGGUGGGGCCAUAGUGGCGCACGGGUGAGUAACACGUGGGAAUCUGCCUAUCGGUUCGGGAUAACGUUUGGAAACGAACGCUAACACCGGAUACGCCCUUCGGGGGAAAGUUUACGCCGAUAGAGGAGCCCGCGUCCGAUUAGGUAGUUGGUGGGGUAAAGGCCUACCAAGCCGACGAUCGGUAGCUGGUCUGAGAGGAUGAUCAGCCACACUGGGACUGAGACACGGCCCUGACUCCUACGGGAGGCAGCAGUGGGGAAUAUUGGACAAUGGGCGCAAGCCUGAUCCAGCAAUGCCGCGUGAGUGAUGAAGGCCUUAGGGUUGUAAAGCUCUUUCGCACGUGACGAUGAUGACGGUAACGUGAGAAGAAGCCCCGGCUAACUUCGUGCCAGCCGCCGCGGUAA
Molecule: ribosomal RNA, 457 nt
Filed under: uncultured bacterium
Lineage: Bacteria
Description: partial 16S ribosomal RNA
Rfam family: Bacterial small subunit ribosomal RNA
Source: RNAcentral